AACGAACGCUGGCGGCAUGCCUAACACAUGCAAGUCGAACGAGACCGUCGGGUCUGGUGGCGCACGGGGGCGUAACGGGGGGGAACCUGCCCUUAGGUUCGGAAUAACUCCCCGAGAGGGGUGCUAAUAACGGAGAAUGUCUUCGGACCAAAGAUUUGUCGCCUUUGGAUGGGCUCGCGUUGGAUUAGCUAGUUGGUAGGGUAAAAGCCUACCAAGGCGGCGAUCCAUAGCUGGUCUGAGAGGAUGCUCAGCCACACUGGGACUGAGACACGGCCCAGACUCCUACGGGAGGCAGCAGUGGGGACUAUUGGACCAUGGGCGAAAGCCUGAUCCAGCAAUGCCGCGUGAGUGAUGCAGGCCUUAGGGUUGUAAAGCUCUUUUACCCGGGAUGAUAAUGACAGUACCGGGAGAAUAAGCUCCGGCUAACUCCGUG
This 433-nucleotide ribosomal RNA is filed under the name uncultured bacterium. RNAcentral describes it as "partial 16S ribosomal RNA". It matches the Rfam family "Bacterial small subunit ribosomal RNA", at positions 29 to 507 of the family's 1533-position model. The record is from RNAcentral.